This 440-nucleotide ribosomal RNA is filed under the name uncultured bacterium. RNAcentral's name for it is "partial 16S ribosomal RNA". It matches the Rfam family "Bacterial small subunit ribosomal RNA", at positions 338 to 795 of the family's 1533-position model. The record is from RNAcentral.
CCUACGGGUGGCAGCAGUAGGGAAUAUUGCACAAUGGGGGAAACCCUGAUGCAGCGACGCCGCGUGGAGGAAGAAGGUUUUCGGUAUGUAAACUUCUAUCGUCAGGGAAGAAAAUGACGGUAUCUAACGAAUAAGCACCGGCUAACUACGUGCCAGCAGCCGCGGUAAUACGGAGGGUGCAAGCGUUAUCCGGAUUUACUGGGUGUAAAGAGCGCGUAGGCGGGAUAGCAAGUCAGAAGUGAAAGCCCGGGGCUUAACCACGGGACUGCUUUUGAAACUGUUGUACUAGAGUGCAGGAGAGGUAGGUGGAAUUCUUAGUGUAGCGGUGAAAUGCGUAGAUAUCAGGAGGAAUACUCGUGGCGAAGGCGGCCUACUGGAACGUAACUGACGCUGAGGCUCGAAAGCGUGGGGAGCAAACAGGAUUAGAUACCCGUGUAGUC